Molecule: long non-coding RNA, 399 nt
Filed under: Salmo trutta (river trout)
Lineage: Eukaryota; Metazoa; Chordata; Actinopteri; Salmoniformes; Salmonidae
Description: lncRNA (ENSSTUG00000011284.1)
Source: RNAcentral
CUGGGAAAGCAGUCCAUGGAGGAGAGGAUUCUUGGGGAGAUAUCACACAUCAUUGCACCCUUGGAGAAAAGCAUUGAGAGGAGAUGAUGGAUCUUUUUCAGAGGCCCAACUCAUCUUUUACCUCCUGAACUUUCACUUUGCUGGAACAGACACCACCUCCAAGACACUGCUCACUGCAUUCCUCUACCUCAUGACCCAUCCAGAGAUUCAGGGGCACUAUGAUCAUUCCAAACCUCACCUCUGUACUGUCUGAGAAGGGUCAGUUGAAGUUCCCCCAUGAGUUCAACCCCUUAAACUUCCUGAACGAGCAGUGAGUGUUUGAGAAGCCUGAAGCUUUCAUGCCGUUCUCUGCAGGUGAGGGAUAGAACAACACAAGGUGCAUCACUGACGUUGUUGACA